ACGGGUGAGUAACACGUUGGUAACCUGCCUAUGAGACUGGGAUAACUAUCGGAAACGAUAGCUAAGACCGGAUAACUGGUUUUCUCGCAUGAGAGAAUCAUGAAACACGGAGCAAUCUGUGGCUUAUAGAUGGGCCUGCGGCGCAUUAGCUAGUUGGUAGGGUAAUGGCCUACCAAGGCGACGAUGCGUAGCCGACCUGAGAGGGUGACCGGCCACACUGGGACUGAGACACGGCCCAGACUCCUACGGGAGGCAGCAGUAGGGAAUCUUCCGCAAUGGACGCAAGUCUGACGGAGCAACGCCGCGUGAGUGAUGAAGGUUUUCGGAUCGUAAAGCUCUGUUGCCCUAGACGAACAGCAUGAGGAGUAACUGCCUUAUGUGUGACGGUAUAGGAGAAGAAAGCCCCGGCUAACUACGUGCCAGCAGCCGCGGUAAUACGUAGGGGGCAAGCGUUGUCCGGAAUUAUUGGGCGUAAAGCGCGCGCAGGCGGUCAAUUAAGUUGGGUGUUUAAGCCCGGGGCUCAACCCCGGUUCGCAUCCAAAACUGGUUGACUUGAGUGUAGGAGAGGAAAGUGGAAUUCCACGUGUA
RNAcentral lists this ribosomal RNA (588 nucleotides) under uncultured bacterium. RNAcentral describes it as "bacterial SSU rRNA". It matches the Rfam family "Bacterial small subunit ribosomal RNA", at positions 102 to 677 of the family's 1533-position model. The record is from RNAcentral.